Molecule: ribosomal RNA, 403 nt
Filed under: bacterium
Lineage: Bacteria
Description: partial 16S ribosomal RNA
Rfam family: Bacterial small subunit ribosomal RNA
Source: RNAcentral
UGGGGAAUAUUGCACAAUGGAAGGAACUCUGAUGCAGCGACGCCGCGUGAACGAAGAAGGCUUUCGAGUCGUAAAGUUCUUUUAUAUGGGAAGAUAAUGACGGUACCAUAAGAAAAAGCCCCGGCUAACUACGUGCCAGCAGCCGCGGUAAUACGUAGGGGGCUAGCGUUGUCCGGAAUCACUGGGCGUAAAGGGUUCGCAGGCGGAAAUGCAAGUCAGGUGUAAAAGGCAGUAGCUUAACUACUGUAAGCAUUUGAAACUGCAUAUCUUGAGAAGAGUAGAGGUAAGUGGAAUUUUUAGUGUAGCGGUGAAAUGCGUAGAUAUUAAAAAGAAUACCGGUGGCGAAGGCGGCUUACUGGGCUCAUUCUGACGCUGAGGAACGAAAGCGUGGGUAGCAAACAGG